This 253-nucleotide ribosomal RNA is filed under the name uncultured bacterium. Its description in RNAcentral is "partial 16S ribosomal RNA". It matches the Rfam family "Bacterial small subunit ribosomal RNA", at positions 524 to 776 of the family's 1533-position model. The record is from RNAcentral.
GACAGAGGUGCCGAGCGUUGCUCGGAAUCACUGGGCGUAAAGCGCACGUAGGCGGAUUGCUAAGUCAGGGGUGAAAUCCUGGAGCUCAACUCCAGAACUGCCUUUGAUACUGGCGAUCUCGAGUCCGGGAGAGGUGAGUGGAACUGCGAGUGUAGAGGUGAAAUUCGUAGAUAUUCGCAAGAACACCAGUGGCGAAGGCGGCUCACUGGCCCGGUACUGACGCUGAGGUGCGAAAGCGUGGGGAGCAAACAGG